RNAcentral lists this long non-coding RNA (229 nucleotides) under Capsicum annuum. Its description in RNAcentral is "long non-coding RNA (CANN_LNC015427)". The record is from RNAcentral. Lineage: Eukaryota; Viridiplantae; Streptophyta; Magnoliopsida; Solanales; Solanaceae.
GGACAAUGGCAGUAAGUAUAUGAAUAGGGAUGCUCUGUAAUACACUAGUAAUUAACACUUCCUUACCCCCGAAGGAUAAUAUGUUACCUUUCUAAGCUUGAAGUUUGUCUCUUAUCUUUUUAAUGAGAUCUGCAUAAUGCUCUUUCCUUUUUCUAGCAUGAGUAAUGGGGCAACCAAGAUAUUUAAAGGAAAACUCAGCCUUAGAAAUUCCUGUACAUUCCUCCACCAU